GAAUAAAUCUACCCGGCUGAUUCAUACAAAGGUAUCCGUGAAGAUCACCCUAAGAAAUGAGACGACACAGAUGGCCGUUGACACAUUUUAUCAUUUAUAAUAAACUCUUUGUGAAACGGUCAUUUAACUGUCCAUAUCAAUUCAGAAAUAUAACAGAGUUCUGUAAAAGAAGCUCAAAAUGGAACGUGUGACCUAAUUUGAAAGUCCACAUAAUAUUUUGAAAUGUGCAAAACGGAAAAAACGUUUCGAUAGAAAAGUGAUUCUUCUCCGUGUUGUUACGUCAAAACCUCACCGGCGAUAUUAAAUGAAACUGUAGAAUUGUUUUGUCAAGUUGACGGUCAGUUAAACGAAAGCACAACUAGAAAAUGGGAAAGAGGUGUGUUGAUCUUAACUUCUAAAGACAAAUCUAUCGAUUCUUCCAAAUUCAAAGAAAGAAAGACAGACGAUGGAUUUGCUCUUCAAAUUAUCAAAUUACAGGCUUCCGACCUCAACAAAGAGUAUACCUGUGUGUACGGCUUUAAAAGAUGUCACUUUAAUUUGACAAUCAAUCUAGGAAAUUUUGAAGUUCAUCCAGUAAACAAAACUGUGACAACGACAUGGAACGAAGCAGCCGGAAAAUUAGAAGUGCAAAUAAAGUUUUCCUUAGUAUACCCUAAACCACGGUGCGAAGUUAUUUACAAUGAGAAAUACUCGGCCAAGUCAAAGUCCAUAAAAACAAGGUCGCAUCAUGUUGGUGUAUUUUAUUCGACAAACAUAACAGUUGAAGAAAGCAUUGGUUCAGUGUGCAUUAAAAAAUUAAAGAUUACAUGCACUGUAGGAUCUAAAGACUUUGUUAUCAAAGACUAUACAAGCCCUACCAAAAACUGCAAAAAUGUCGGCAAAAGGCAAGUUGAAUUUGAAAGCCUAUGUGUUUUGAUCGCUUUGGUGUUUGGUAUUUAUUAUGGGUUUUGACGCAAAACAUACACUAGAAGGGUUUCAACACGAAUGGUGAUUUGGUCAGUUUGAACAGAGACAGAGGAAAUUCGCGUAUACGAGUUAUAACUAACACAAAAGAAAUUUUUCAUUUGUUUUGUAAAUUUUAUGAUUUGGAUGCUUGGCUUUGCUCUUUAUGGAUAAUAUGUUUGUACUUUCAGUAUCAAAUUUGGUCUUCUAAUAGUACAGAAUUAUUACUUAUGUAGUUAUUUAAAUUCAAGUGAAUUGGAAAAACAAACAUAGAAUGCAACAGAAGCAAUGUAUGAAGUUAUAAAAAUGAGGCAUAUAUCAUAAUUUAUUAAUUGAAUGUCAAAUAAGACUUUAUAUUAAUAAAAGGUAAAUCUAUAUACUUCUGAGUGAAAUAAGGGAGAUAAUAAGCUACUUCCGGUGAAGUAGAUGUCACUUCCGGU
Long non-coding RNA from Mytilus californianus (California mussel), 1382 nucleotides. RefSeq lists it as uncharacterized. The record is from RefSeq and is a predicted model, not a curated record. NCBI's taxonomy places the organism in Eukaryota, Metazoa, Mollusca, Bivalvia, Mytilida, Mytilidae. The transcript is spliced from 7 exons.